ACUUCAGAGAUUUGAUCUAAGAAAAUGACGGUCUUUACAGUCGCGGGAGCACCAUUUUCCUACUUAGGGAGAGGACACAUGUCAAUGCAGGUGCUCGGCCCCCUCAAUAGUGACGGCGAUUAACCUACAGGUUCCAUCAAUGACGGCAGCUCGCCCGUGCAAUCAAGAACCAUCUCACUGCAAUAGCCGUUGGCACUAUCUGCUCGGUAUAUCUGACCUCCUCGUUCUGAUUACUUAGCCUCUCCUCCUCUUUCUUCUUCAUUGUCUUCUUCUUAUACAUCUGUGUCUGUGCAUGGUUUUAUUUCGGUAUGAUGAACACCUUCUGCAGGUGGAUCAAUUCCAGAUGUUGAAAAAAAGACAUGCACAGACACAGAGGUAUAAGAAGAAGACGAUGAAGAAGAAAGAGGAGGAGAGGCUAAGUAAUCAGAACGAGGAGGUCAGAUAUACCGAGCAGAUAGUGCCAACGGCUAUUGCAGUGAGAUGGUUCUUGAUUGCACGGGCGAGCUGCCGUCAUUGAUGGAACCUGUAGGUUAAUCGCCGUCACUAUUGAGGGGGCCGAGCACCUGCAUUGACAUGUGUCCUCUCCCUAAGUAGGAAAAUGGUGCUCACGCGACUGUAAAGACCGUCAUUUUCUUAGAUCAAAUCUCUGAAGUGGAUGCAUGUGCGCAUCGGAUCUGAUUUUGUGUAAUACAGAGCUGAGGGGAGGUGAAUGGGGAUAGGU
Molecule: unclassified non-coding RNA, 721 nt
Filed under: Hevea brasiliensis (rubber tree)
Lineage: Eukaryota; Viridiplantae; Streptophyta; Magnoliopsida; Malpighiales; Euphorbiaceae
Source: RNAcentral